RNAcentral lists this transfer RNA (72 nucleotides) under Streptomyces atratus. RNAcentral's name for it is "tRNA-Val". It matches the Rfam family "tRNA". Rfam says of the family: Transfer RNA (tRNA) molecules are approximately 80 nucleotides in length. The record is from RNAcentral. Lineage: Bacteria; Bacillati; Actinomycetota; Actinomycetes; Kitasatosporales; Streptomycetaceae. RNAcentral also lists the same sequence under 43 other names.
GCGCGAUUAGCUCAGCGGGAGAGCACUUCCCUGACACGGAAGGGGUCACUGGUUCAAUCCCAGUAUCGCGCA